AAUGCCAAAAAGAGGGUGGCAGCAUUUAAUUUUUGGUGUAAAACUAGAGUGGUGUGGAGGAGUCCUUCUAUAAUUGAAACUUUUUCAAGUUGGGUAGGAGUCCAAUUAAAAUAGACCUAAUCCAAUCAAGUUAAAGGCAACAGGUUCAGUUUAGCUCAAACACUUUGAACUUAAUCUAAUCAGGAACUUGAGUUAAAACAAUAUGCU
RNAcentral lists this long non-coding RNA (207 nucleotides) under Elaeis guineensis (African oil palm). Its description in RNAcentral is "long non-coding RNA (EGUI_LNC053688)". Lineage: Eukaryota; Viridiplantae; Streptophyta; Magnoliopsida; Arecales; Arecaceae. The record is from RNAcentral.